Molecule: ribosomal RNA, 468 nt
Filed under: uncultured bacterium
Lineage: Bacteria
Description: partial 16S ribosomal RNA
Rfam family: Bacterial small subunit ribosomal RNA
Source: RNAcentral
GACGAACGCUGGCGGCGUGCUUAACACAUGCAAGUCGAACGGAAAGGCCCUGCUUUUGUGGGGUGCUCGAGUGGCGAACGGGUGAGUAACACGUGAGUAACCUGCCCUUGACUUUGUGAUAACUUCAGGAAACUGGGGCUAAUACCCGAUAGGAGCUCCUGCUGCAUGGUGGGGGUUGGUAAGUUUCGGGGGUUGGGGAUGGACUCGCGGCUUAUCAGCUUGUUGGUGGGGUAGUGUCUUACCAAGGGUUUGACGGGUAGCCGGCCUGAGAAGGUGACCGGCGACAUUGGGACUGAGAUACGGCCAAGACUCGAAGGGGAGGCAGCAGUGGGGAAUAUUGCACAAUGGGCGGAAGCAAGAUGCAGAAACGCGGCGAGCGGGAUGACGGCCUUCGGGGUGUAAACAGCUUUCGCCUGUGACGAAGCGUGAGUGACGGUAAUGGGUAAAGAAGCACCGGCUAACUACGUG